UGGGGAAUAUUGGACAAUGGGGGCAACCCUGAUCCAGCCAUGCCGCGUGUGUGAAGAAGGCCCUAGGGUUGUAAAGCACUUUCAGUAGUGAGGAAGGCUUCUGGUUAAUACCUGGGAGUACUUGACGUUAGCUACAGAAGAAGCACCGGCUAAUUUCGUGCCAGCAGCCGCGGUAAUACGAAAGGUGCGAGCGUUAAUCGGAAUUACUGGGCGUAAAGCGCGCGUAGGCGGUUUGUUAAGUCGGAUGUGAAAUCCCCGGGCUCAACCUGGGAACUGCAUCCGAUACUGGCAGGCUAGAAUGCGGUAGAGGGAGGUAGAAUUUCCGGUGUAGCGGUGAAAUGCGUAGAGAU
Molecule: ribosomal RNA, 350 nt
Filed under: uncultured bacterium
Lineage: Bacteria
Description: bacterial SSU rRNA
Rfam family: Bacterial small subunit ribosomal RNA
Source: RNAcentral